AAACGAACAAGGAUUCCCCUAGUAGCGGCGAGCGAAGCGGGAAAAGCUCAAAUUUGUAAUCUGGCGUCUACGACGUCCGAGUUGUAAUCUCGAGAAGUGUUUUCCGUGAUAGACCGCAUACAAGUCUCUUGGAACAGAGCGUCAUAGUGGUGAGAACCCAGUACACGAUGCGGAUGCCUAUUACUUUGUGAUACACUUUCGAAGAGUCGAGUUGUUUGGGAAUGCAGCUCAAAUUGGGUGGUAAAUUCCAUCUAAAGCUAAAUAUUGGCGAGAGACCGAUAGCGAACAAGUACCGUGAGGGAAAGAUGAAAAGCACUUUGGAAAGAGAGUUAACAGUACGUGAAAUUGUUGGAAGGGAAACACAUGCAGCCAGACUUGCUAUUCGGGGCAACUCGAUUGGCAGGCCCGCAUCAGUUUUUCGGGGCGGAAAAGCAUAGGGAGAAGGUAGCAAUUUCGGUUGUGUUAUAGCUCUUUAUUGGAUUCGCCCUGGGGGACUGAGGAACGCAGCGUGCUUUUAGCAUAAGCUUCGGCUUAUCCACGCUUAGGAUGCGGGUAUAAUGGCUGUAUAUAAAC
RNAcentral lists this ribosomal RNA (573 nucleotides) under Sporobolomyces roseus. RNAcentral's name for it is "partial 26S ribosomal RNA". It matches the Rfam family "Eukaryotic large subunit ribosomal RNA", at positions 62 to 649 of the family's 3401-position model. Lineage: Eukaryota; Fungi; Basidiomycota; Microbotryomycetes; Sporidiobolales; Sporidiobolaceae. The record is from RNAcentral.